This is a long non-coding RNA of Eriocheir sinensis (Chinese mitten crab), 1046 nucleotides long. RefSeq lists it as uncharacterized. The record is from RefSeq and is a predicted model, not a curated record. Lineage: Eukaryota; Metazoa; Arthropoda; Malacostraca; Decapoda; Varunidae. The transcript has 4 exons.
CGCAUAGGUGUGAGGGUGCCCGCUGCGUUUACCUGAGAAUUCGUUAUUUGAAUGUGUUCGUGCGUGUUCGUGUGUGUACGACAAGUUAGCGUUUCCCGUAUCGGCCUGACGGUGGAUGUGAGCAAAGUUGCACCGGUUGGAAUCCCGUCCGUUCCCUUCCCAUUCCAUUAGACCCGCCGGCCGCCCGAGCCUCGCCUUACCUGUGUGAGGCUGUUCAGGUCUUGAUGUGGCUCAGCGGUGGGCGUUACGCAAGCUUAUUAUUGAGGUCGUCCUCCUCGUCGGCACUCAACAAGACCUGGUUCUCGGACGGCCGGCGGAGGAAAGGUGCGUGUAAUUUGGGUUCACCUGGCGCCGGCCUAACCUCCCCUACCUGGAAUACCUGAAGUGCUUAUCAAAGGGGCACCUCGCAUAUCUAACGAGGUAAGUGAACCGCAGAGCCGACGGUAAGUACAGAGACUGAGUUUCGAGGAGAUGCAAGAUUAGUGACGAAAGGAGGAUGUUGAGAAUGGAGGAAUGGGAGGAGGAGGAGGAGAUGGAGAUGAUGGAAAUGAAUAAGAACAGUAAACGAAGAGGAGGAGAAGGAGAGAAAAAGGAGAGUGAGAAGUAAAAUAAGAACAGUAAACGAAGAGGAGGAGAGGGAAAGAAAAAGGGCAGUGAGAGGAAUAUGAACUAAAAGCGAAGCAUAAACGAUGGCAACGCUGCAAGGAAAUAAGAAGAAGAGGAGGAGGAGAAGAUUAAAGGAGGUGUCGAUAUGAAGAAAAGAAGAUACAAAAAGAGGAAAAGGGGAUCAAAAAAUAAAAUAAGAACGAAUAAAACAAAACGAAGCAUGAACGAUAAUAGUAAUGAUGUCACAUAAUAGAGUCAAGUCCCGCCCGCCGCUGUUUUUCCCUCCUUGAAUCCCUUGCUCGCGGUCUCAUAAAGAAAUCAUCCGGCGUGACCUUCCCGCGCUCCCAUGAACUCGAGCUCCACCUGCCGCUUUCUUUUACCCUCCGUGUAGUGUUAUGUGGAAGUUCGCGGCAAUCACAACUUUUACGCCGAGACUUACC